Molecule: small RNA, 565 nt
Filed under: Pan troglodytes (chimpanzee)
Lineage: Eukaryota; Metazoa; Chordata; Mammalia; Primates; Hominidae
Description: processed transcript
Source: RNAcentral
GGGAGAGCAGAGCUCACCGCAGGUCUGGCCCCCCACCAGCUGUGCAGACCGCCGUGGGCCUCUACAGAAAGAACCCAGUGGGCCCCCACCAGCCCCCGAUCCCCAAGACCCCGGCACUCACUGUGCCUUGGUUACGGGGUGAAUAAUUUAGACCGCUGAGUGUCAGUCAUGAAAUAUUCAACAGCCUGUUCCUGACGCAGCAGCAUGGGAGUGAAUGCCCAAACCAAGAACGGUGCCACGCCCCUGUACCUGGCGUGCCAGGAGGGCCACCUGGAGGUGACCCAGUACCUGGUGCAGGAAUGCGGCGCAGACCCGCACGCGCGCGCCCACGACGGCAUGACCCCGCUGCACGCCGCGGCGCAGAUGGGCCACAGCCCAGUCAUCGUGUGGUUGGUGAGCUGCACCGACGUGAGCCUGUCCGAGCAGGACAAAGACGGCGCCACCGCCAUGCACUUCGCGGCGAGCCGCGGCCACACCAAGGUGCUCAGCUGGCUGCUGCUGCACGGCGGGGAGAUCUCGGCUGACCUGUGGGGCGGGACCCCGCUGCACGACGCCGCCGAGAACG